AUGGAUAUUUACCUGAUGGGUAGGGAUUAUUGUACCCGCACCAUACCCUGCCCAUUGCCAUCCUUCAUAGAUUCUAUACCAACAGUUGAUAAAGCAAGGGUGUGGCCGUGUGGGAGAAGACUCUCCGGAGGUCGUCAUUGUAGGAUCCUUCAAAUUUCGGCCCGCGUCAAACAUAUCUAUGCCCCCUUCUUUUUGCUGGUUCCUCUAUCCCACCUGCUCCUUAGCGCGAAGGAAACUUUCGACCCUUCCGUUCCUGCUUCCACUCGUCGCUGUCGCCGAUCUCGCCGGCCCCUCGUCUUCUCGCCUCGCCAUGCUGCCAAUCACCGCUAUGGAGUACCUGGAGCCACCAGGCGGUGCAUGCGCCGCUGCCCCCGACGGUGCUGCUCUGGCCUUCUGCGCCUCCCGCAACCAUGCACAAUGCCGACGCGCCAACACCUUCCACCCCCGACAUCAAGCGAAAGUGACAGUGGAAUCACCUCAUGCAAGGAAGUGUGGUUGCCACCGGGUCGCCUUCUUCUAAUGCCGUUGUGCUCCCUCCCAUGUUGGUCGCCGGCUCGAGGAAGAACGCCUCCUCCGGCCCCUCCGUGGCACUGGCGAAGUCACAAUCAAAAGGACCAAGGAAGAAUGUGGCUGCGGCUCAAGGUCGGGCUCCUUAUCCACCCCCUCCUGCCGGCCAUGUCCUCCCCGAUACCGCCCACUCGACCGGCCAUGCCUAGAACGUAUUUGAUGAAACGUCCGAGAGAGGAGAAUGCGGUGGAAUUGAGUGCUCCACCUGAUGAGUUUGAUGCGACAAGUCAAGAGAACGUCGAAGCCAAGGUGGAACAAGGGAAUGCUGAUGGUGAUGAAGUAAAGGAGCUUGAGGAGGCCGAGUUCGAUGCUAGCCAAGACAAAAUAGGGAAAAGGACUGGCAACUACAUGGAGACAAGGAUUGGGUGCUUGGAGCAAGUGCGGAAUGCACCUCCAAGUGGUGUCACGAUUGACGAGUGUGAUCGCAUUGCAAAUGAAUAUUUCAAGCAAACAACGGGUUUCAACGGCCGGUCGUUCACUCUUCACGAUUGUUGGCGCUUGAUCAAGGAUAGCGAGAAGUGGAGGGUGAGGGGCAAACUCCACCAAAGAAAGAUUCUCUUGUCAAUUUGGAAGACGAUGAUGAUAGUGAUGAUGCACCAAGGGGAGGAAGAAACAAGGGCAAAACCGGAUGGAAACAAGCGAGGUGGCCAUAGCUGGGAGGAAAGAAAAACACAAGGAGGCAAAGUGGGAGAGAAGGUGUGCCUUCAAGGAACGCAAGAUCUCCGGUUCAUGAUGAUGAAUCUGGAGGGCAUGGAUGCAACGACAAGAGAAUUUUGGGAGAUGAGAAGAAUGGCGAUCAUGUGUCAGGGGAAGAUGGACCUUCAAAAUCUUAUGGCUGGUGGUGGUGGUUUCAACAAUGGUGGUGGCAUAGGUUUCAAAACUGGUGGUGGGGGUUUUGAGGUGGUGUUGGUUUCGGUAAUGUUGGUGGUGGUGGGUUUAGAGGUGGUGUUGUCUUUGGCUAUGGUGGUGGUGGGUUUGGAGUUGGUGUUGGCUUCGGCACUGGUGGUGGUGGUGGUGGUGGUGGUGGUGGUGUUCCCGGUGGAGGUGGUGAAGCUUUCGGUAAUUGAGGUGGAGGUGAAGGUGGUGAAGCUUUUGGCAAUGGUGGUGAUGGUGCUUCGGCGAACGAAGUUCAUGUUCAUGCUUCGCCCAAUGAAGAUGGUGGUGCUCAUUCUUCGGUCUAUGUGGAUAAAAAUGGUAAUUGAGGUGCUAUGGCCGAUGGUGGUGGCAACGAUCUUCGCGACAAUGAUGAUGUUGCUUGAUUUGUUUUAUGGCAGGGGGUGUACUGAAGCACACUCAUGUGCAGGACAGCUGAGGAGAAUGGUGUCCCGGAGUCGAGACGGUCAUUUGCAGACCAAGUCUAUGUUGGUUGCACUUGUAAUGGCAUGA
This 1953-nucleotide ribosomal RNA is filed under the name Triticum aestivum (bread wheat). Its description in RNAcentral is "partial small subunit ribosomal RNA". Lineage: Eukaryota; Viridiplantae; Streptophyta; Magnoliopsida; Poales; Poaceae. The record is from RNAcentral.